UCUGUAGGUGGUUUAAUAAGUCAACUGUUAAAUCUUGAAGCUCAACUUCAAAAUCGCAGUCGAAACUAUUAGACUAGAGUAUAGUAGGGGUAAAGGGAAUUUCCAGUGGAGCGGUGAAAUGCGUAGAGAUUGGAAAGAACACCGAUGGCGAAGGCACUUUACUGGGCUAUUACUGACACUCAGAGACGAAAGCUAGGGUAGCAAAUG
This 207-nucleotide ribosomal RNA is filed under the name uncultured bacterium. RNAcentral describes it as "partial 16S ribosomal RNA". It matches the Rfam family "Bacterial small subunit ribosomal RNA", at positions 568 to 774 of the family's 1533-position model. The record is from RNAcentral.